This 389-nucleotide ribosomal RNA is filed under the name Desmodesmus sp. RNAcentral describes it as "SSU rRNA". It matches the Rfam family "Eukaryotic small subunit ribosomal RNA", at positions 629 to 1026 of the family's 1831-position model. Lineage: Eukaryota; Viridiplantae; Chlorophyta; Chlorophyceae; Sphaeropleales; Scenedesmaceae. The record is from RNAcentral.
CGUAGUUGGAUUUCGGGUGGGUCUCAGCGGUCCGCCUAUGGUGAGUACUGCUGUGGCCUUCCUUACUGUCGGGGACCUGCUUCUGGGCUUCAUUGUCCGGGACAGGGAUUCGGCAUGGUUACUUUGAGUAAAUUAGAGUGUUCAAAGCAGGCUUACGCCGUGAAUACUUUAGCAUGGAAUAACAUGAUAGGACUCUGCCCUAUUCUGUUGGCCUGUAGGAGUGGAGUAAUGAUUAAGAGGAACAGUCGGGGGCAUUCGUAUUUCAUUGUCAGAGGUGAAAUUCUUGGAUUUAUGAAAGACGAACUACUGCGAAAGCAUUUGCCAAGGAUGUUUUCAUUAAUCAAGAACGAAAGUUGGGGGCUCGAAGACGAUUAGAUNNNNCGUAGUCA